CGGGACACGUGGUAUCCUGUCUGAAUAUGGGGGGACCAUCCUCCAAGGCUAAAUACUCCUGACUGACCGAUAGUGAACCAGUACCGUGAGGGAAAGGCGAAAAGAACCCCGGCGAGGGGAGUGAAAAAGAACCUGAAACCGUGUACGUACAAGCAGUGGGAGCACGCUUAGGCGUGUGACUGCGUACCUUUUGUAUAAUGGGUCAGCGACUUAUAUUCUGUAGCAAGGUUAACCGAAUAGGGGAGCCGAAGGGAAACCGAGUCUUAACUGGGCGUUAAGUUGCAGGGUAUAGACCCGAAACCCGGUGAUCUAGCCAUGGGCAGGUUGAAGGUUGGGUAACACUAACUGGAGGACCGAACCGACUAAUGUUGAAAAAUUAGCGGAUGACUUGUGGCUGGGGGUGAAAGGCCAAUCAAACCGGGAGAUAGCUGGUUCUCCCCGAAAGCUAUUUAGGUAGCGCCUCGUGAAUUCAUCUCCGGGGGUAGAGCACUGUUUCGGCAAGGGGGUCAUCCCGACUUACCAACCCGAUGCAAACUGCGAAUACCGGAGAAUGUUAUCACGGGAGACACACGGCGGGUGCUAACGUCCGUCGUGAAGAGGGAAACAACCCAGACCGCCAGCUAAGGUCCCAAAGUCAUGGUUAAGUGGGAAACGAUGUGGGAAGGCCCAGACAGCCAGGAUGUUGGCUUAGAAGCAGCCAUCAUUUAAAGAAAGCGUAAUAGCUCACUGGUCGAGUCGGCCUGCGCGGAAGAUGUAACGGGGCUAAACCAUGCACCGAAGCUGCGGCAGCGACGCUUAUGCGUUGUUGGGUAGGGGAGCGUUCUGUAAGCCUGCGAAGGUGUGCUGUGAGGCAUGCUGGAGGUAUCAGAAGUGCGAAUGCUGACAUAAGUAACGAUAAAGCGGGUGAAAAGCCCGCUCGCCGGAAGACCAAGGGUUCCUGUCCAACGUUAAUCGGGGCAGGGUGAGUCGACCCCUAAGGCGAGGCCGAAAGGCGUAGUCGAUGGGAAACAGGUUAAUAUUCCUGUACUUGGUGUUACUGCGAAGGGGGGACGGAGAAGGCUAUGUUGGCCGGGCGACGGUUGUCCCGGUUUAAGCGUGUAGGCUGGUUUUCCAGGCAAAUCCGGAAAAUCAAGGCUGAGGCGUGAUGACGAGGCACUACGGUGCUGAAGCAACAAAUGCCCUGCUUCCAGGAAAAGCCUCUAAGCAUCAGGUAACAUCAAAUCGUACCCCAAACCGACACAGGUGGUCAGGUAGAGAAUACCAAGGCGCUUGAGAGAACUCGGGUGAAGGAACUAGGCAAAAUGGUGCCGUAACUUCGGGAGAAGGCACGCUGAUAUGUAGGUGAAGUGAUUUACUCAUGGAGCUGAAAUCAGUCGAAGAUACCAGCUGGCUGCAACUGUUUAUUAAAAACACAGCACUGUGCAAACACGAAAGUGGACGUAUACGGUGUGACGCCUGCCCGGUGCCGGAAGGUUAAUUGAUGGGGUUAGCGCAAGCGAAGCUCUUGAUCGAAGCCCCGGUAAACGGCGGCCGUAACUAUAACGGUCCUAAGGUAGCGAAAUUCCUUGUCGGGUAAGUUCCGACCUGCACGAAUGGCGUAAUGAUGGCCAGGCUGUCUCCACCCGAGACUCAGUGAAAUUGAACUCGCUGUGAAGAUGCAGUGUACCCGCGGCAAGACGGAAAGACCCCGUGAACCUUUACUAUAGCUUGACACUGAACAUUGAGCCUUGAUGUGUAGG
This 1739-nucleotide ribosomal RNA is filed under the name Escherichia coli. RNAcentral's name for it is "partial 23S ribosomal RNA". It matches the Rfam family "Bacterial large subunit ribosomal RNA", at positions 418 to 2142 of the family's 2925-position model. Lineage: Bacteria; Pseudomonadati; Pseudomonadota; Gammaproteobacteria; Enterobacterales; Enterobacteriaceae. The record is from RNAcentral.